GCCACUUAAGCCUAGUUGUCAUCCCCAGCAUGACAUGAGAGACGCAGUAUUGAAAUAUGCAAUUGCUCUUCUGAAUGAAUAAUAAAUGCGAUCUGCAAGCGCACAGAUUAAUACCGAUGUAGCAUUUUAAUCGAGAAGUAUUCCAGGUAUCGUUAUUUAUAUUUUUACCACUGGGAAGGGAUUGCUAAUCAUCAAUGUUGAUUAUGGAAUGGAAAAUGGAAUUGAGUAUCUAUCAUUGCAAGACAGGAGUACGCCCAUGCAUAGUGAUAUUAUCAAGGAAGAUGAGAAACAUAGCAAUCACUCCCCUGUAAUAAUGUUGCUCUGCCCGCCCUAUACACGAGAGGGGGACUAUAUAAGAAUCAAUGGAGCUGUCACCACCACGAACUACCCUGCGAUCCGACAUAUAGGGUACAAUCGCAGAUAAAUACGGUAUAGGCACCACGCCUACACAAUACUUAUCAUUUACCCACUGUACACAUGGAUAAACGCUAUACGAUCCUAAACAUGUAUAUAAUUCCAAUCUAACUAAGCCAAGCAUAUAACUAUGAUAAACUAAGAACGAUAUAAUUGCA
Molecule: long non-coding RNA, 572 nt
Filed under: Sorghum bicolor (sorghum)
Lineage: Eukaryota; Viridiplantae; Streptophyta; Magnoliopsida; Poales; Poaceae
Description: long non-coding RNA (SBIC_LNC002356)
Source: RNAcentral